GUCGUACGAGAGUUUUUAACUCAUGUGGCGGACGGGUGAGUAACACGUAUGAAUUUGCCUUUAGGAGGGGGACAACAACUGGAAACGGUUGCUAAUACCCCAUAUGCUUUCGAGUGAAAUGGAUUUUUCCGCCUAAUGAGAAUCUUGCGGCUGAUUAGCUUGUUGGUAAGGUAAUGGCUUACCAAGGCGACGAUCAGUAUCUGGUUUGAGAGGACGAUCAUACACACUGGAACUGAGACACGGUCCAGACUCCUACGGGAGGCAG
RNAcentral lists this ribosomal RNA (265 nucleotides) under uncultured bacterium. Its description in RNAcentral is "partial 16S ribosomal RNA". It matches the Rfam family "Bacterial small subunit ribosomal RNA", at positions 61 to 351 of the family's 1533-position model. The record is from RNAcentral.